This is a non-coding RNA of Xylariaceae sp. AK1471, 86 nucleotides long. The record is from the annotation of a GenBank genome assembly. Lineage: Eukaryota; Fungi; Ascomycota; Sordariomycetes; Xylariales; Xylariaceae.
UCCUCCGUGGCGCAAUUGGCUAGCGCGUUCGACUGUUAUUACAACAGUUAAUCGAGAGGUUGACAGUUCAAGCCUGUCCGGGGGAG